Molecule: ribosomal RNA, 253 nt
Filed under: uncultured bacterium
Lineage: Bacteria
Description: partial 16S ribosomal RNA
Rfam family: Bacterial small subunit ribosomal RNA
Source: RNAcentral
UACGAAGAGGGCUAGCGUUGCUCGGAAUCACUGGGCGUAAAGGGUGCGUAGGCGGGUCUUUAAGUCAGGGGUGAAAUCCUGGAGCUCAACUCCAGAACUGCCUUUGAUACUGAAGAUCUUGAGUUCGGGAGAGGUGAGUGGAACUGCGAGUGUAGAGGUGAAAUUCGUAGAUAUUCGCAAGAACACCAGUGGCGAAGGCGGCUCACUGGCCCGGUACUGACGCUGAGGUGCGAAAGCGUGGGGAGCAAACAGG